CGGGUAUGAGUAAAAAUAUUGGCUAUCCAAAAAUUUACGGAUAAAUUUUACCCAUGCCCAAAUAACCCGCAGGUACAAUGACCCGCCCACGAGUUACCCAAUCUAUUCGUUUGCCAGGGCUAAGUACAAGAUAGAAUAAUGCUACUUAUGCAUUCAAAAAUAAAAAUAAAUCUUACACCACAUUCUUUCAUAUGCCAAUACUUUCACACUAAUUUUUUUAAUAUUAAAAAUCAUAAAAUAGAAUAUAAACCUCAAAAUAGAUGGGUGUAAUAUUUACAUUCUA
This 283-nucleotide long non-coding RNA is filed under the name Ananas comosus (pineapple). RNAcentral describes it as "long non-coding RNA (ACOM_LNC014810)". The record is from RNAcentral. Lineage: Eukaryota; Viridiplantae; Streptophyta; Magnoliopsida; Poales; Bromeliaceae.